CUCUCUCUCUCUCUCCCUGCAGAGCCUCCUCACAGCUGCCUGCCUGUCUCCUACUCAUAGGAAGACUCCAUCUAUGCAUAAUCUCUUUCCUUUCCUGGCAGUUCUUCAGCAGUCUGUUUGGAGCAGCAGUGGCCAUACCCACAGAAAUGUUUGUGAUCACCAUAGAUCUGGCCCCCUAAAGCUGGGACCCCUCAAGGCCAGUGUGCUGCCAGGUGGCAUUAAAGGACUCUCCCUAAGUCCUGGGGACCAGUGAAUCAUUUAUGGCCGUUUGACAGACAGCAGGCAUGGACAUGUCCCACGCCAUGGACCACCUCACUUCCCCCUCUGUGCUGUGGCCAGGAAGAGCACACUUGGAGGUGUCUGGCAACUUCAAGGCUCACAUAUCAGAGUGCCCUCGUUGCUGACAUGCGUAGUGUCAGAAACAGAUUUCCCAGGCCACCUGGACCAGCCUCAGCCCCUGAGGAUUCGACAUCUCCAGCCCGCCAAGCUGAACCCCCAGAACACAAUGCUGUAACUCCUUCCUCUGGACGAGGACGUCUCCCUCCCUGCGGGCCCCAUGAGCCCUGCUUCUCCUCAUCCCUAGGGGCAGCUAGUUUUGUGCCCUCCAGCUGCAGUGACUGACUGUCCCACGUCUCUAUCAAUUUCCCAGCAGCCAGCCGUUUCUUUAAAAAUGCUCACUGAAACAUUUGGGGAAACUGAGGCCCAAAGAACAGAUAUCUGGCAUGCCUUUAAGUGUAAACAGGGAACAGUUUCCUGAGCAAAAAUUCUGAAACCAAGCCCUGGGCUUAGGUGGGGUCUUGAACCAAGUCCAUGGCAGGUGUCACAGCUUCCCUCAACCUCUACUUCCACUAUGCUCUCCUUGCUGGUAUAUGGCUCCCGACGGCUGCCUCAGUGUCUGCCAUGUUUGACUUUCAGGUCUGACCCCAUCUUGUUCUCCAGUGAACGGCCUGGCUAUACCUUCAGUUCCCCAAGGCUGGCCCAGAGAGCUUCUCACCUUUUAGGAGUCUCUCAGGACUUGGGAUUUAGGACUUACUCUCUGGCUAUCAUCAUAGUUGAUGCCAUGCCCAUGUGACUGAUGGAUGGACCAGCACUACCUGAACUGGGUUGAGUUCCUGCCCCCAGACACGUUCAUCUGUGUGGCCUUGGAGAACUCACGGGAGUUCUCUGUGCUUUCACUUCCUUCCUGUGGCUCCUGGCACUGAGAAAGUGAUGACAAAGAUGGUGAUGAUGA
Non-coding RNA from Cricetulus griseus (Chinese hamster), 1231 nucleotides. The record is from RefSeq and is a predicted model, not a curated record. NCBI's taxonomy places the organism in Eukaryota, Metazoa, Chordata, Mammalia, Rodentia, Cricetidae.